Molecule: ribosomal RNA, 253 nt
Filed under: uncultured bacterium
Lineage: Bacteria
Description: partial 16S ribosomal RNA
Rfam family: Bacterial small subunit ribosomal RNA
Source: RNAcentral
GACGGAGGAUGCAAGCGUUAUCCGGAAUUAUUGGGCGUAAAGCGUCCGUAGGCGGUUUCAAAAGUCUGUUGUUAAAGCCCACAGCUCAACUGUGGAUCGGCAAUGGAAACUGUGAGACUAGAGAGUGGUAGGGGUAGAGGGAGUUCCUAGUGUAGCGGUGAAAUGCGUAGAUAUUAGGAAGAACACCAGUGGCGAAGGCGCUCUACUGGGCCAUUACUGACGCUGAUGGACGAAAGCUAGGGGAGCGAAAGGG